UUAAAGAUUAUAUGCAUCUAAUAUACAUAUAAUAGAUUUAAAGGAAUUGUUAAUUUGAUCCACCAUCCAUUUGCUGAAUUGACCGAUCCAUGAUUAUAAUUCUUGAUUGAAUUCAAGAAUUUGUGAAUAAAGGAUGAAUGAUGUAUAAUAAAGGGUGGGUUGAUUGAGAAAAUAUUUGGGUUAAAUUGAUAAUUUCUAUAUACAUAUUGUAAUUGUCGUUUUACUUAUUCUACAAAUUUCUUUCAGAAUAAAUAUGUAUAGGGGAAUUCGAACUCAAGGAAAGACUAAGCACAUGAGCUUUACUUGUUAGGGUCACAUGAUUAACUAUAUUUCAAACCACUAAAAUACCAAGAAACACUACAAUGCUUCCUUCCAGGAACAAUACUCCUUCAUCAACUGAUAACCACAAUAUGCAACCCUGCACUCUCAAAAGACUGCUCAAAACACAAUAAUUUCCAUCCAAUACCAGGAAAACAAACUUCACUCCAAUCAAUCUAGAUCCACACAAUUUGUGUAAUCACAGACUUACUCUGUCCAAAACACACACAACUCUCGAUAAACAACAAUCAUAAUCUUCCAAUCAUAAUCAAUCUUCUAAUAACUUCUCAUAUAAUUCAAUCACAUAAUACUCCAAUUACAUAAUCAAUAAUUCAUAAAUCAAUCUCUGAUAUAUUCCACAGACUCACUUCUCAAUAUUCAAAAACUAUCCAUUACUCUUCAACAAUAAAGAAAACAAAGAAAACAAAGAGGUAGCACCAAGCUUAAUUCUGGCUCAUGGCUAUCACAGUUUGGCCCUUGGCUUAUGACUCUCAUAGUUUGGCCCCUCAAACUAACUUCUACAACUCCUAUAUAAUUGCUACUGAUUUCCAGAUUCUAAUUGUAAUCCUAUAAUAACCGCUUUUAAUAAAUGAUUUAACCAUCCGUCCUCCUGAAUUGACUAUUCUAUGGACUAUUAGUCUAUUUUAUGAAUAU
Molecule: long non-coding RNA, 972 nt
Filed under: Physcomitrium patens
Lineage: Eukaryota; Viridiplantae; Streptophyta; Bryopsida; Funariales; Funariaceae
Description: long non-coding RNA (PPAT_LNC006332)
Source: RNAcentral